AGAGUUUGAUCCUGGCUCAGAUUGAACGCUGGCGGCAUGCCUUACACAUGCAAGUCGAACGGCAGCACGGAGCUUGCUCUGGUGGCGAGUGGCGAACGGGUGAGUAAUAUAUCGGAACGUACCCUAGAGUGGGGGAUAACGUAGCGAAAGUUACGCUAAUACCGCAUACGAUCUAAGGAUGAAAGUGGGGGAUCGCAAGACCUCAUGCUCGUGGAGCGGCCGAUAUCUGAUUAGCUAGUUGGUAGGGUAAAAGCCUACCAAGGCAUCGAUCAGUAGCUGGUCUGAGAGGACGACCAGCCACACUGGAACUGAGACACGGUCCAGACUCCUACGGGAGGCAGCAGUGGGGAAUUUUGGACAAUGGGCGAAAGCCUGAUCCAGCAAUGCCGCGUGAGUGAAGAAGGCCUUCGGGUUGUAAAGCUCUUUUGUCAGGGAAGAAACGGUGAGAGCUAAUAUCUCUUGCUAAUGACGGUACCUGAAGAAUAAGCACCGGCUAACUACGUGCCAGCAGCCGCGGUAAUACGUAGGGUGCAAGCGUUAAUCGGAAUUACUGGGCGUAAAGCGUGCGCAGGCGGUUUUGUAAGUCUGAUGUGAAAUCCCCGGGCUCAACCUGGGAAUUGCAUUGGAGACUGCAAGGCUAGAAUCUGGCAGAGGGGGGUAGAAUUCCACGUGUAGCAGUGAAAUGCGUAGAUAUGUGGAGGAACACCGAUGGCGAAGGCAGCCCCCUGGGUCAAGAUUGACGCUCAUGCACGAAAGCGUGGGGAGCAAACAGGAUUAGAUACCCUGGUAGUCCACGCCCUAAACGAUGUCUACUAGUUGUCGGGUCUUAAUUGACUUGGUAACGCAGCUAACGCGUGAAGUAGACCGCCUGGGUAGUACGGUCGCAAGAUUAAAACUCAAAGGAAUUGACGGGGACCCGCACAAGCGGUGGAUCAUGUGGAUUAAUUCGAUGCAACGCG
RNAcentral lists this ribosomal RNA (959 nucleotides) under uncultured bacterium. RNAcentral describes it as "bacterial SSU rRNA". It matches the Rfam family "Bacterial small subunit ribosomal RNA", at positions 8 to 963 of the family's 1533-position model. The record is from RNAcentral.